Long non-coding RNA from Rhododendron vialii, 718 nucleotides. RefSeq lists it as uncharacterized. The transcript has 2 exons. Lineage: Eukaryota; Viridiplantae; Streptophyta; Magnoliopsida; Ericales; Ericaceae. The record is from RefSeq and is a predicted model, not a curated record.
AUUUUAAUAAUUUCGAUGUUUUAUAAAAUGCCAGAGUUUAGAGAAAAAUAAGAAUUUUGAUGUGGUUAUAUAUUGGAAGGUUAAUUAUGCAAGGAUAUAUGGAUUUGGGAGUUAGUGUGGUGAAAUGGUAAGUGGAAGGGUGCUUAUGUAAUAAGAUGUAUGCAUAUAUAUGUGUAUCAGGGAAAUAUUUUCCUCACCUAACUCUCUCAAACCCUCACGCCUCUCUUCUCUCACCCGACACGCACUUCUCUCUUCGGCUCUCUCUUUCUCUCACUCUCUCUCACACCUACACCUCCAAUCUGCCAUGGACCCGUGAAAACCCAAGCGUAUCUAACCUUGUUCAAGUGUCUUUGGCUCUUGAAUCGCGUGGGUGGAGCUCGAUGGAGGAGUUCUUGUUGGAUUUCAAAACUCGGAGCUAGGGCUUUGUUUGAUCUCGGGGUUUUGCUCAAAACCCUUGAGGUGCAACUCACGGAGCAUAACUGGAGCGUUUGAAGUGAAUCAUUGAUCAUCAUUUGAAUGAUUAUGCUAAGGAGUCGGUAGUUCAUUCAUGUAAAUUUUAUUUUGGGAUUUGAAAUUGUAAUAUUAAUCUAUUUCCUUUUAAAGUGAGAGUAUGCAACCCUUAAUCUCUUGUGGACUUUUAUGUAUAACUUAACGUAUUGGCGGUUGAUGAACGGACCUAGCAUGUGAUUGUGAGGUAUUUAUGGGCAAGAAAAUGACA